GUAUUGUAGCUUUACUAUGGUUUCUUUGGUUUUUCAUUAACAAGUCAAAAAAGGGACAGCCCCCAUUGCCACCAGGGCCUAAAGCUUUGCCUUUGAUAGGUAAUCUCCAUUCUCUUGAUCCUGAACUUCACACCUAUUUUGCAUCUCUUUCCCAAACUUAUGGCCCCAUUUGUAGACUCUGGCUUGGUAAAAAACUUGGGAUCAUUAUUACUUCGCCUGCCUUAGCUCGCGAGGUUCUUAAGGAUCAAGAUACCAUUUUUGCUAAUAGAGAUGUGCCUGCUGCUGGUAGAGAAGCUACAUAUGGUGGCACUGAUAUAGUUUGGACUCCUUAUGGACCGAAAUGGCGCAUGUUGAGGAAAGUAUGUGUUCGCGAAAUGCUUAGUGGUUCUACUUUAGAUUCUGUUUAUGCAUUGAGGCGACGGGAGCUUAGACAAACGAUCAAUUACUUCUAUAGUCAGGCGGGAUUGCCUGUGAAUAUAGGUGAACAGAUGUUCUUGACUGUGCUUAAUGUGAUUACAAGCAUGUUAUGGGGUGGCACAGUGAAGGGCGAGGAAAGAGCUAGUCUUGGGGCAGAGUUUAGGCAUGUUGUUACUAAGAUGACUGAACUGUUAGGUACUCCAAAUCUUUCUGAUUUUUAUCCGGGCUUGGCCAGGUUUGAUUUGCAGGGUGUUACAAAGAAGAUGAAAGUAUUGGCAAAGAGAUUUGAUAAGAUAUUUGAGAGCAUGAUUGAUAAAAGACAGGAGAUUGAUAGAAAUGGUGGGAUGGAAACUGGUGUUGGCCAAGAAAAUAAGGAUUUUUUGCAAGUUUUGCUGAAACUGAAAGAUGAUGAAGCUGCCAAAAUGCCUUUGACCAUGCCUGAACUCAAAGCCUUACUCAUGGUAUGUUUUCUCAAUUGUGCAUGCUACUACAGGAAAAAUCCAGUAUGUUAACACUUAACUAUGAACCUUGAACUGAACUCCAGUAUCCAGCUCUACAAGUAGUAUGAAUUUUGUUGUACAUGAUAAUAACUUUAAAAAUACUGUGAACAGGAUAUGGUUGUCGGUGGAACUGACACAACCUCCAACACGGUUGAGUUUGCCAUGGCUGAAAUUAUGAACAAGCCAGACGUCCUGAGAAAAUUGCAACAAGAAAUAGAUACAGUUGUGGGUAAAGAUAACAUAGUGGAAGAGUCUCAUAUUCAACACUUGCCAUAUUUCUAUGCAGUUAUGAAAGAAGUCUUGCGUCUACAUCCAGCGCUUCCACUCUUGGUUCCUCAUUGUCCUAGUGAGACAAGCACUGUUGGAGGAUACACUGUUCCUAAAGGAUCUCGUGUUUUCAUAAAUGUAUGGGCAAUACAGAGAGAUCCUUCUAUAUGGGAAAAUCCAACUGAGUUUCAUCCAGAAAGAUUUUUCGAAAAUAAAUGGGACUAUAGUGGAAAUGAUCUCAACUACUUCCCGUUUGGUUCUGGCAGAAGAAUCUGUGCGGGGAUAGCCAUGGCAGAGAGGAUGUUCAUGUAUUCACUGGCUUCACUCAUUCAUUCUUUCGACUGGAAAUUCCCCGAAGGAGAGACAUUAGACCUUACAGAGAAGUUUGGAAUUGUUCUGAAGAAGAAAAUGCCUCUGGUGGCUAUACCUACUCCAAGAUUAUCCAAUCCGACACUGUAUGAGUAAGAUAUGUCUGUAGAGAGACGUGUUCUGCAUGAUGAUUAUAUCUUUUUGUAUGAUGAACUAUGGAAAAGUGCUCCAUGAAAAUAGGAUCUAUUUGAAAUUGAUUGGAAGUUUUCUGUAUAGUUUGUACACAUCAUGAAUAAAUAUAAAAAGGGUGUUUGACAGAUUAGUUAAAUUAUAUACUUUUGUAUUAGCUUAAAAAAAUCCCUAAUUGAAAAGACAAAUUGGAACCAAGGGUGUGUUUGGUAUGAAGGAAAAUGAUUUAUAGUGUUUGAUUUAUGAAUGAAAAAUAUUUUUAAGAAAUAUAUUUUAUUUUUACUAGAGUAGAAAAUAAUUUUUGAAAUUGAAAAUAUUUUUUAAAAAUAAACUUAAAUUUUGUUGAAAAUAUUUUUUAUAAACAAUAAAAAAUUGAUAGCGAGGGGCGAGGGUAGUGGGUGGGGGUAAAAAAUAAAAAUUUGAAAUUAGAAAUAUCUUUUUAAAAUAAUUUUUAAUAUUUUUUUGGGACGGGGUAGGGGUAGGGGUGAGGGUGGGUAAAAAAAUUGAAUUUAAAAACAAGCUUUAAAAUUAUUAUUAUUUUUUGGGGGGAGGGGGGGUGGUUGGGGGGCUGAUUUGAGGGUAGGGACAAAAUAAAUUGAUUUUUUCAACAAAAAAGUAAUUGUAAUAUGAAAUUGAAAGAGAGUUUUGGAAAAUGUUUUCCUUAAGUUUUGAAGGGAAAUCAUUUUCCUUAAAUUUGAGGAAAAUGAAUUGAUUUGAAAAACAUUUAACCCAACCAAAAUGAGAAAAUUAGAAAAUCCUACCAAACACACCCCAAUAAUUGUUUCAUUGGUUUUGCUUUGAAGUUUGAAGCAGCAGGAUUGGGGAGGUAUGUUCAUAUUGUGGUUUUGCAGACUUUCAAGAGUCACUUUUUGUCUUAUCCAACAUAUUUAUAUUCUUCAGCAAAUUUUACUUCCUUUUUAUAUAUAUAUAUGGUGUUAAAGUAUUGAUUUUUUUCUCCCUAAUAUUAAAGCAAUAAUUUAUGAUUGAUCAAGGUUAAAAAAGAAAAUAGUAAUUAUUUUUGAUUUCUGAAAACCAAUUUUUGUUAUUACUCAAAACAGCUACUCUAUUUUUUCAGUGAACCUUAACCAGCAACCUCAAUUCUCUAAAUUAACUUGAAAAAAUAAUAACUUUUAACUGCUCAUAAUUUGGCCAAACAUACUCCAAUAUCCUAUGUGACUAUGAGAAACUUUAAUUUUUGUUUCUCCAAAGAAAAGAAAAGAAAGGAACAGUCCCCAUAUUGAAACAACAAAUUAGAAUCUUACAGGCAUGUUUGGAAAGCCAUCCCGAUAAUUAGAUUUGAUGUAAUUGAGUGUAAUUAUAUUAUCUGACGUGCUUGAUUUAAAUUUGAUGUAAUUGAGUGUAAUUACAUUGUCUGGCGUGUUUGAUUGUCCAUGUAGUUACUUGGUAAUUGAGUGUAAUUGAUAGGGAGAAUUAGACUCUUCAAUUUUCAGGGAGCGGCUGUGAAUUACAAGCUGAUUACUUUUUAAUUUCAUCUUUUUAUUUUAAUUUAUUUUUUAUUUUUAUUAUUCUAUUUUUAAAAAAAGAUUAUUUUAUAUUAUUUAUAUUUCAUUUCCUUCUCAUUCUCAACCUUUACUUCAUAUGAUUCCAUGUAUUUUUCGUAUUAUCUAUCUUUUUAUGGCAUGUUAUUUUUUCAUUAGCAUAAUUUGGUUAGUAUUUGAAUUUUUAAAUUAAAGUAGAAUUCAUUGUUAAGUAAAGUUAUAGACUUACGUUUUUCUUUCUUUUUAAAAUAUAUUUAUGUUUGUUAUGUUGAAAUUUGAUAUAAGAGUAUUGUGUUAAAUAUUUUGUUUGAAUUUACAACUUAUGUUAUAAUUUUAGUUUCAUUUGUUUUAGUAGUAUUGAUAGAUUAUCUUUUUGUCUAAUAUUUUAAUAAUUUAUGAUACUUUAUUUUUAUCAAACAUGCAUUUCACGAUGUUCAUAGAAAUCUUGUACUUUUAGUUUCUUUUUUAUGAUUAAUUCAAUUGAAAUAUACUAAUUUGAAAAAUAUAAAUCAAUUACUUUUUCAUAAUAUUAGUUAAGAACAUAUGUUUAUUAUUAAUAUAUUUUCAAAAGACAAUAUAUAUCUUAAAUAUUUAAUUUAAUAUCAUUUAUAAAGUUCCUUAUUUAUCUAAUAUAAAUUUAAAUAAUUAACUUUUAUUUUUAAAAUUGAAUUCAAACCAUUCAUGUAUAAUUAUACUAUGACAAACAAACAUGUCAGUGUAUUAGUUGGUUGUGUAAGCACUAGUGGAGUUUGUCUCAACAUUUUUUAUUUGGGGGUUCCACUGGAGUAUCUUAAAGUAUUGCAGAAACAUUGUGGAGAGCCAGCAACACAAGAGUUAUCUGUAUGAAAUGAGGUAACAGUAUGUGGCAUACUUAGUUUUACUAUGGUUUCUUUGGUUUUUCAUCAGUAACUCAAACAAGGGACUGCCACCAGGGCCUAAACCUUUGCCUUUGAUAGGUAAUCUCCUCUCUCUUGAUCCUCAACUUCACACCUAUUUUGCAUCUCUUUCCCAAACUUAUGGCCCCAUUUGUAGACUCUGGCUUGGUAAAAAACUUGGGAUUAUUAUUACUUCCCCUGCCUUAGCUCGCGAGAUUCUUAAGGAUCAAGAUACCAUUUUUGCUAACAGAGAUGUGAGUGUUGCUGGUAGAGAAGUUACAUAUGGUGGAACUGACAUAGUUUGGACUCCUUAUGGACCUAAGUGGCGUAUGUUGAGGAAGGUUUGUGUUCAAGAAAUGCUUAGUGCUUCUACUUUAGAUUCUCUUUAUGCACUAAGGAGAAGGGAGCUUAGACAAUCGAUCAAUUACUUUUAUAAUCAGGCAGGAUCACCUGUGAAUAUUGGUGAACAGAUGUUCUUGACUGCACUUAAUGUGAUUACAAGUAUGUUAUGGGGUGGCACAGUGAAGGGUGAGGAAAGAGCUAGUCUUGGGGCAGAGGUUAGGGAUGUUGUGACUAAGAUGAAUGAGCUGUUAGUUACUCCAAAUCUUUCCAAUUUUUACCCGGGCUUGGCCUGGUUUGAUUUGCAGGGUGUUAAAAAGAAGAUGAAAGUGUUGGCAAAGAGAUAUGAUAACAUAUUUGAGAGCAUGAUUGAUCAAAGACAACAAAUGAAUAGAAAUGGUGUUGGCCAAGAAAGCAAGGACUUUUUGCAAGUUUUGCUGAAGUUGAAAGAUGAAGCAGAUCCCAAAAUGCCUCUGACCAUGAUUGAAAUCAAAGCCUUACUUACGGUAUGUUUUAUCAGUUGUGCAUUCAAAUCUGGUACUUACAUUAUAUUUUCAUAAAUAAAAAAUCGUUGUGCAUGAUAAUAACUUCACAAAUACUACGGACAGGAUAUGGUUGUUGGUGGAACUGAAACUAGCGCCAACACAGUUGAGUUUGCCAUGACUGAAAUUUUGAACAAACCAGAUGUCUUGAGGAAAUUACAACAAGAAGUGGAUACAAUUGUGGGAAAAGAUAACAUAGUGGAAGAGUCUCAUAUUCAACAGUUACCAUAUUUCUAUGCAGUUAUGAAAGAAGUCUUUCGUCUACAUCCAGCUCUCCCACUCUUGGUCCCUCAUUGUCCUAGUGAGACAAGCACUGUUGGAGGAUACACUGUUCCUAAAGGAUCUAGUGUUUUCGUAAACGUAUGGGCUAUACAGAGAGAUCCUUCUAUAUGGGAAAAUCCAACUGAGUUCCAUCCGGAAAGAUUUAUGGAAAAAGAAUGGGACUUUAGUGGAAAUGAUUUGACCUACUUCCCGUUUGGUUCUGGCAGAAGAAUCUGUGUGGGUUAGCCUUGGCAGAGAGGAUGCUCAUGUAUUCACUGGCUUCACUUAUUCAUUCUUUCGAAUGGAAAUUGCCUGAAGGAGAGACAUUAGACUUUACAGAGAAGUUUGUGCUUGUUCUGAAGAAGAAAAUGCCUCUGGUGGCUAUACCUACUCCAAGAUUAUCCAAUCCAACACUCUACGAGUAAGAUAGAAAUAUGUCUGUAAAGAGUCGUGUUCUGCAUGGUGAUUUUAUCUUUUGUGUGAUGAACUAUGGAAAUGUGAUCCAUGAAAGAUGUUUCUCUAUCCUGACAAUGGUAUUAUGAGCAACUCAAUGUUCCAUGUGAAAUGGCUAGUUUCCAUGACUACUUAAAUAUUGUAUUCUGAAUCGAAUUUGAAAUAAUAGUACAUGUAUUACUUUGUUGUAGAGAUUAUGCUUCUAUCUUUUGUUUGAUGAACUAUAUAUGGAGAUAUAAUACUUAAACCACAAGGGAAAGUAGUAUUACUAAGCAAAACCUGGAGCAAGUUGUGUGAAAUUAUUUGUAAAAGCUAUGACAUUCUGAAAAGGAUUUAAAAGAGCAUAUUUGUGCUCAAAUAUACCUAAUUUAAUACUAUUUCCUUAUUUGUCUUGUGAACAGGACAGAUAAGGUAUCAAAAGCUGAAGAUUCAUUUGUGUUACACAACAAGGGGCCAUUGACUUCAUUAAAUAUAAAUGUCGAAGUGGAAAAUGGCUUCCCACCACAUUGUUUCUGCCAUCUCUCCCAUUUUUCUCUUAGUCUGAAAUAAUGUCACUCAAAUUCUUUACACCUUUGUUUGAUUCUUUCCCAUGGCCCUGGCAAGAACAAAAUAUUGAGAAAAAUGGUGUAUUUUUCUCCUAUGUUCUUGGUAUUUUAGCUUUAUUAUGGUUUCUUUGUUUUUUCAUCAACAAGUCAAAAAAGGGACAACCCCCAUUGCCACCAGGGCCUAAAGCUUUGCCCUUGAUAGGUAAUCUCCAUUCUCUUGAUCCUCAACUUCACACCUAUUUUGCAUCCCUUUCCCAAACUUAUGGCCCCAUUUGUAGACUUUGGCUAGGUAAAAAAGUUGGGAUUAUUAUUACUUCACCUGCCUUAGCUUGCGAGGUGCUUAAGAAUCAAGAUACCAUUUUUGCUAACAGAGAUGUGCCUGCUGCUUGUAAAGAAUCUUCAUAUGGUGGAAAAGACAUAGUUUGGACUCCUUAUGGACCGAAAUGGCGUAUGUUGAGGAAAGUUUGUGUUCGUGAAAUGCUUAGUGGUUCAACUUUAGAUUCUGUUUAUGCACCAAGGAAAAGGGAGCUUAGACAAUCGAUCAAUUACUUUUAUAAUCAGGCGGGAUCGCCAGUGAAUAUUGGUGAACAGAUGUUCUUGACUGUGCUUAAUGUGAUUACAAGCAUGUUAUGGGGUGGCACAGUGAAGGGUGAGGAAAGAUCUAGACUUGGAGCAGAGUUUAGGCAUGUUGUAGCUGAUAUGACUGAGCUGUUAGGUACUCCAAAUAUUUCCGAUUUUUAUCCGGGUUUGGCCAGGUUCGAUUUGCAGGGUGUAACAAAGAAGAUGAAUGUGUUGGAAAAGAGAUUUGAUAAGAUAUUUGAGAGCAUGAUUGAUCAAAGACAGAAAAUAGAUAGAAAUGCUGAGAUGGGAACUGGUGUUGGCCAAGAAAGCAAGGACUUUUUGCAAGUUUUGCUAAAGUUGAAAGAUGAAUCAGAUGCCAAAAUGCCUCUGACCAUGAUUGAACUCAAAGCCUUACUUAUGGUAUGUUUUAUUCAUCAAGUUUUGUUGUGAGCUGAGCUGUUGUUACAUUCUUCUUCUAUGCAAAUUCACAUUCAUUUGAUAUGCUACUGGUUUCAAAGUUUGGAUUUUACUUCAAAUAGUCUAAUUCCUUACAUAUUACGGAUAUAAAAAAAUGGUUUUUAGUGAUGUUAGUCAUAAUAAGAGGAUCAAUACGAAUAAAAGUGAAAAAUAAGAUAGUAAAUGUACUGAAGAAUUAUUACAUCAGAUGAGUAAAAAUUAUUAGAUGAAUCAGAUUUAUAUAAAUUCAUGUUCUGAACUGUUAGUUGCUACCUUUUUAUUGGAUUGCAUUAAGGAAGACUUAACUGUGAAUUAAGGCAGUGAACCUUAAACUGAAAUCCAAUAUACAGUAUUUGAUAAUAACUUCACAAAUACUGUGGACAGGAUAUGGUGGUUGGUGGAACUGACACAACCUCCAAUGCGGUUGAGUUUGCCAUGGCUGAAAUUAUGAACAAACCAUACGUCCUGAGGAAAUUACAACAAGAGCUAGAGACAGUUGUGGGAAAAGAUAAUAUUGUGGAAGAGUAUCAUAUUCAGCAAUUACCAUAUCUUUAUGCAGUUAUGAAAGAAGCCUUGCGCAUACAUCCAACUCUUCCACUCUUGGUGCCACAUUGUCCUAGUGAAACAUGCACUGUUGGAGGAUACACUGUCCCUAAAGGAUCUCGUGUUUUCAUAAAUGUAUGGGCUAUACAGAGAGAUCCUUCUAUCUGGAAAAAUCCAACUGAGUUCCAUCCAGAGAGAUUUUUGGACAGUAAAUGGGAUUAUAGUGGAAAUGAUUUCAACUAUUUCCCAUUUGGUUCUGGCAGGAGAAUCUGCGCGGGGAUAGUCAUGGCAGAGAGGAUGUUCAUGUAUUCACUAGCUUCACUCAUUCAUUCUUUCGACUGGAAAUUGUCUGAAGGAAAGACAUUAGACCUUACAGAGAAGUUUGGGAUUGUUCUGAAGAAGAAAAUACCUCUGGUGGCUAUACCUACUCCAAGAUUGUCUAAUCCAAAACUGUAUGAGUAAGAUUAAAAUGUGUCUGUAGAGAGUCGUGCUCUGUAUGAUGAUUCUCUCUUUCGUAUGGUGAACUAUAGAAAUGGGAUCCAUUUGAGAUUGAUUCAAAGGUUUCGAUACAGUUUAGUACACAUCAAGGGUAUUAAACCUGUAAUUCAAGUGUACCUGAAUUAGCACAUCAGAGAUGAGCUUCCUGUUUGUACGAUAAAAAUUAUUUCCAGUUUUAUUUCAAAUUUGUUUAAGUCAUAGUCAGUUGUUUACUUAAGUUGGAAAAAUCCUUCAAAUCGAAGGUAAGAACCAUAGGAUCGCUAUGAUUCAAAUUGCUCCACUGUAACAAUAAGAGGGUUACAAAUAUUCUCUAAAAAUGGCUACAUAACACUUUAAUGGAUCAAUUACUUUUUUAACCAGGCAAGAUCACCUAUGAAUGUUGGUGAGCAGAUGUUCUUAACCGUACUUAAUGUGAUUACAAGCAUGUUAUAGUUGGAUUUAAUUCUCAAAUUUCACUUAACAGUGUGAAUAUCAAAUGUCCAAUAUUUACCUUCAUGAAGUCAGAUUAAACACAGAGUCACAUUUCUUCUAUGAUCCAUCCACCAUCAAAAUGUUCAUUGACAACUUGUUUACUUCACAAAUAGGUAAAUUGUCCCCCCCCCCUCCGAAAAAAAAAAAGUUUAAAAACAAAAUCUAAUCAAUUAAUUAAAAUGAGUAUUUUUUUUUUUAAAAAAAGAAAUUAGUUUAAAACAAAAGUUAUGUUUCAAUAAAAUAAUUAAAAUGUGUAUCUUAUUAUUUAUUUAAAAAUUUAUUUGAAACAAAAAAAUAUUUCAAAAUAAUUUAAUGAAAAGGUCAUUUAAUUUUGUUGGGCUACUUUCUAAAUAAUUGAGUGACUUUAUAGGUAAAAUAUUUAUAGUUAAGUGACUUUGAGAUAUAAAAAAAAAGUUAAAUGACUUUUUAUGAAAAUAAAUAUUAGUUGAAUGACCAUAUAAAAUAAGCAACUCUUUUGGUCAAAGAGUUCAAUUUUGCUAGCGAUGAAUCCAAAGAAAGAAAGCAUUUUUUUGCUGAAAAUUGAAUGAUAAACAAAAUGCCAAACAAACUUUGCUCCUUUUCACAUUUCUUAUACUACCAAACAAAGUACUUUCUCCGUUUCAAUUAACAUCACGAGAUUCAGGAGAAUACUGGGAAUGUCUAUUUAUAUUCAUUUCAUUCUUUCAGCAAAAUUAAAAAAAAAAAAUCUUCUUCAGAUGUCUCUCAAAUUCUUCAAACCCCUUUUUGAUUCUUUCCCAUGGCCCCUUCAACAACUCAAUGUUGAGCAAAAGGGUGUGUUUUUCUCCUGUUUUCUUGCUUUUUUAGCUUUACUUUGGUUUUUCAUCAGUAACUCAAACAAGAGAUUGCCACCAGGGCCUAAAGCUUUUCCCUUGAUAGGUAAUCUCCAUUCUCUUGAUCCUGAACUACACACCUAUUUUGCAUCUCUGUCCCAAACUUAUGGCCCCAUUUGUAGAAUCUGGCUUGGUAAAAAACUUGGGAUUAUUAUUACUUCCCCUGCUUUAGCUCGCGAGGUUCUUAAGGAUAAAGAUACCAUUUUUGCAAACAGAGAUGUCCC
Molecule: long non-coding RNA, 9800 nt
Filed under: Solanum tuberosum (potato)
Lineage: Eukaryota; Viridiplantae; Streptophyta; Magnoliopsida; Solanales; Solanaceae
Description: long non-coding RNA (STUB_LNC008572)
Source: RNAcentral